Molecule: ribosomal RNA, 424 nt
Filed under: uncultured bacterium
Lineage: Bacteria
Description: bacterial SSU rRNA
Rfam family: Bacterial small subunit ribosomal RNA
Source: RNAcentral
GGCGGACGGGUGAGUAACGCGUAGGCAAUCUGCCUUCUAGAUGGGGACAACAUCCCGAAAGGGGUGCUAAUACCGAAUGUUGUACCGUUUCCGCAUGGAGAUGAUACUAAAGGUGGCCUCUGAACAUGCUACCGCUAGAAGAUGAGCCUGCGUCUGAUUAGCUAGUUGGAGGGGUAACGGCCCACCAAGGCUUCGAUCAGUAGCCGGUCUGAGAGGAUGAACGGCCACACUGGGACUGAGACACGGCCCAGACUCCUACGGGAGGCAGCAGUGGGGAAUCUUCCGCAAUGGAGGAAACCCUGACGCAGCAACGCCGCGUGAGUGAUGAAGGCUUUCGAGUCGUAAAACUCUGUCUUUGGGGACGAAUAAUGACGGUACCCAAGGAGGAAGCCCCGGCUAACUACGUGCCAGCAGCCGCGGUAAU